UUUAAAAAAAAAAAAAAAACCGCCUGCAAAAACUGUUGUGCAGAAAAAACAAUGAUACUCCAUUACUCCCUAUGUAAACUGCGUUAAAACUUAUCGUUUUCAAAAAUCCGUUCGUUUUGAAGAUUUUUUCUGUAUCGUAUUAUAAGUGCCUAUAUGAUGAUACGACAAGUCACAGUGAUUCCCUAUAAGGUCACUUCACAUUAUGCGUGUUAACGUUGAUGUUUCGUGUUUGUCGUUUCGCAAUAUUUCGAACGGUUGUUUAAUUUUUAAGUUUUUAAAUUCGUCUAUAGAUGUCAGCGCUAGUUCAUCAUUCCAAUCGGACACCAUGAUCACAACUAAUUGAUGAACUAAAUUUGUAACGAAAUUUGAUUAAACACAAUAUCUGUAAUAAAUUGUUGAUAGCGAUGAGGUUAUCUACAUUUAUUACCUAAUUUAAUUUAUUAUCUAAAAAUAUAUACUGUUCAUGAAAACAAAUUCAACACGAAACAUCACGAAACCAUACGAAAUUAUUUUUUCGUGUCCUUUGAUUUCGUCAAUUUAUCGCCGCGGUCGCGAAAUAAUUUUCACGAAAAAAUGUUUCGUGAAAAAGCCAUACCCACUAUUCGCGAAAAAUUACACGAUAAUGUGAAAAUACGAAACGCGAAACGCGAAAUUCGCAUAGUGAUGGAGCGACCUUUAUACGGAAUCUCGUAGGUAAUUUACCGGUGGUACUUGUAUUGAAUAUUUUUUUUUUAAACAAGGCACGUAUAUUAUUGCUCCCCCCCAAAAAAACCCUUUUCAUAUCUUUCAGUAUUCCGUUAUAAAUUGUAUUGGACACCGACAUUUCCUUUCUUAUUGUUUAGCACAUACGCAGCGGCAUAGCAAUUUAGACCAAUUUUCCUUCAUCAGUCCGAAC
Cinara cedri is the source of this 895-nucleotide non-coding RNA. Lineage: Eukaryota; Metazoa; Arthropoda; Insecta; Hemiptera; Aphididae. The record is from the annotation of a GenBank genome assembly.